CUGAAGAUUAAGCCUUGUCUACUUGUCUAAUUUUUCAUAAUAUUUCUUGACAGAGCUACACCAACAUGUGUACGAGCUGUCAACCUGAGUGUUGAGAACUGUAGUGUUCCCGUAUGAUGGUAAACAUAUCACUUAACAAUCAAAAAGCUAAUUAUGUAUACCUUGGUGAAGGCUCUCCUGUUACCCACCUGAUCAAGCUCCUAGAAUGAGAAGAUGGUUGUGGUGCCUGUUACAAUGAGAUAAGCCAGAGCCAACUAAAGUGACAACAGUUGAGACAGACUCAGGUCCCAGAGAACAGGUUUCUUCAGGUAAAAAGGUGUAUGUGAUGAGGAAAUGCUCAUGCAGAAUAAUAAUUAACAAAUGAAAGU
Molecule: non-coding RNA, 368 nt
Organism: Pocillopora verrucosa
Lineage: Eukaryota; Metazoa; Cnidaria; Anthozoa; Scleractinia; Pocilloporidae
Source: RefSeq, a predicted model, not a curated record